Notolabrus celidotus (New Zealand spotty) is the source of this 917-nucleotide non-coding RNA. Lineage: Eukaryota; Metazoa; Chordata; Actinopteri; Labriformes; Labridae. The record is from the annotation of a RefSeq genome assembly.
ACACUUUAACAUGAUGGACUAUAGGACAGGAGCUUCAUCAUCAGCCAUGUUCUCUGUAGCUCUGCUGCUGCUGGCUGCUGGAUCCUGUGUGAAGUGUGAAACGUUGACUCAGCCAGCCUCUGUGACUGUGCAGCCAGGUCAGAGUCUGACCAUCACCUGUCAGGUCUCUUAUUCUCUCGGCAGCUACUACACAGCCUGGAUCAGACAGCCUGCAGGGAGAGGACUGGAGUGGAUUGGGAUGAGAGACAGCGGUACUUCAUACUACAAAGAUUCACUGAAGAACAAGUUCAGUAUCACUUCAGACCCCUCCAGUAAAACAGUGACUCUAAACGGACAGAACAUGCAGCCUGGAGACUCUGCAGUGUAUUACUGUGCCAGGAAAGCCACAGUGAGAGACAAUAACAGGAGAGUCGUACAAAAACUACUUCCUCUAUCUUCAACCAUCACUGAGCGUUCAGUCUCUUUAGUCCUGAGUCUUCACUGAUGGUGAGAAACUGUGGAUGAUGAAAAUCUGAGUCCUGAGUGAAUCUAUACGUUCAUGUUGUCUUAUUUCAUUUACUGAUCAUGUUAUCUUUUAAUAUUAAACUUUAUUGCUUUAUCUUUUCACACACAGAGUUUAACAAUGAUGCAAAGUUUCAGCCUCCUCUGUAUGAAAUAAAGUGUUUGCCUUGCAUCACAGUGGGGGGUGUAUUUAACCCUUUGCUCUUGCUUUGAGGAUGAGAUGGUUUCUGAAGGUCUCACUCGUGCAGGUUUAACUGCUGCAAAAGCAACGCAGUCCUUCAGGGGAUCUGUUCCCCUUGUGGACUUUAGUGACUCCAAACCACCAGAGGAGGAGCCCUCAGACCAGCAAUGACUUCAUGUCAGUUUAAUCUGACAGUUAAGAGAAUAAGAGUCUCAUUUAGUGAUGUUUCCUCUUC